GUGUCCAAAAUCGCUAUCCUAUCCGGCCAAUCCCCCGCUUCGCCGGAGCUCGGCCGAGAGGGAAGGGCUGGGCCAUGGCGGGAGCCUUCGCUCUCCGUCUCGUGCCGCGCCUCGCCGCGGCGCCGCCGGGGAGGAGGAAGGGCGGUGGAGGAGGAGCUGGCCGCGGUGCAGGCAGCAGAGCGUUGGUGACAAAGAAACCAAACAAGGAGCACCACUUGUGGAUCAGGAAGGAGACAGCUGGGUCCGGGAAAAAGGCUCUCCGUCUUAUUGAUACUUCUGUGGAAACAUUCUUUUAGGUUUCCAAGUUACCAAAUGAAAAGGAAGCUAUUUAUGGUGCAUUAGACAAAUGGAGUGCUUUUGAGCCUGAAUUCCCUAUUGUAGCAGCAGCAAAAGCUCUAGGGAUGUUGAAAAGGCGAAGAAAAUGGCUAAGAAUCAUACAGGUAAUGUUUUGUUAGUAGCUAUUAGCUACUACUCCAUCCGUUCCAAAUUAUAGGUCGUUUUGGCUUUUCUAAGUACAUAGUUUUUACUAUGUAUUUAGACAUACUGUAUAUCUAAGUGCAUAUCAAAAGCUAUGUGUGGUAUCACUGCUUUCGACGAAACGGCCUAUAAUUUGCGACCGAAGAAGUAUUGCGAAAAGAGUAACCAAGUGGUUGAUGAGCAAAGGCCAGGUGCUGACAUGGACAACAUAUGAUACACUUCUGCUAGCACUUUUUAUGGAUGGAAGGGUAGAUGAGGCUGAAUCUAUUUGGGAUACUAUUGUACAGACUCAUACACGCUCAGUGCCCAAGAGGUUGUUCUCUCGGAUGAUCUUGAUGUAUGACAUUCGCCAUCAUCCAGAUAAAGUUUUGGAGGUAUAUGCUGACAUGGAGGAAUUAGGGGUGCGUCCAGAUGAGGAUACAGCUAGGCGGAUUGGAAGAGCAUUUGUGGCUUUUGGCCAAGAGGAAAAAGAAAAGUAUGUCCUUGAUAAAUACUUGAAAAGGUGGAAGUACAUCCAUUUCAAUGGUGAGCGUGUUAGGGUGCGGAGGGAUGGUCCGCUGGCAUAGCAACCGUUAUCUGAAAUGCUUGAAGCCAUCUAUAUCACCUCCGUUGGGAAGAUGUCAUUAUUGUCGCUUUGACAGCCACACGGAGAUAAUGGGCAUUCCUCCUUUGUCAGAUGGAACAAAGUUUCUUUUCAAAAAAAAAAAAGAAAAGAAAAACAAUGCCGAGAGGUUGAUCUGUGUUUCUCUAGUCUGUGGGAAGAGAUGAAGACCUGCUGGGUGGAAACUACUAACAUGCUAGUAUGAAACCGGUUUCAUACCGGUCCGGUCCGGUUUGAAACUUA
RNA transcript from Panicum virgatum (switchgrass), 1321 nucleotides. It is a transcript of the gene named pentatricopeptide repeat-containing protein At4g18975, chloroplastic-like, with no coding region annotated. The record is from RefSeq and is a predicted model, not a curated record. Lineage: Eukaryota; Viridiplantae; Streptophyta; Magnoliopsida; Poales; Poaceae. The transcript has 5 exons.